Long non-coding RNA from Helianthus annuus (common sunflower), 1470 nucleotides. RefSeq lists it as uncharacterized. NCBI's taxonomy places the organism in Eukaryota, Viridiplantae, Streptophyta, Magnoliopsida, Asterales, Asteraceae. The transcript is spliced from 6 exons. The record is from RefSeq and is a predicted model, not a curated record.
GAUUAGAGAUCUGGACUUUGGAGGAAAUGGUGAGUUCAUUAAGGUUUGGUAAAAGCGACGACGGUUGGAAGUGGAAAGCAAAUAACUCAUGUAUCUUCUCAGUUAAAUCAGAUAGUAGGGUUAUUACAGACAUCAUAUAUGGGUCGGGUCAUAAGUUGACUGGCUUAAGUAGCUUUGAUCAUAUGAUUAUGGAGGUUUACUAAGUACAUUGAAGAAUAUAUGAUUGAACAUGCACAAAUUGAUGGUUUACUUGGAUUCUCACAGAUUAUGGCAUUGACGAGAAGGCUUAUUCACCCCCAAUCCAGUGUCCAUCUCUCCCGUUUUAGCGUAAUCUGGAUGAAUUCGAUACGGAGGUGACCAUUGCAAACACUACAUCAUCCUUUUGAUUUCUGGUUUCUCGCCAACAACGAUUGCUCAACACCAGCAGGCACAUGCUCUCUUCUUGCAAAUCAAAUACAAAAUUUUCCCCACCUAACUUAUCUAAUCCCAUUUUUUGUUUCUGAUGUCUUAGAUAAAUGGAGGUCAAAUGAUGCAGACACCUGCUAACGAUUCCAUGUCCAAGAAAUAAAGAUACCUACAAUCUCAAUUGACUCUGUCUAUAGUCUACACGAUCUUGAUGAAUUUUGGUAACGAUUAGGGCUCAAAAGUUCCACAUUUGAAGGCUAGCAAACCUUUUUGAGUGCCAAAUUGUUGACUGGAGUGUUUGUAAGACUGCUGGUAGUUUGAGGGUGAGGGCGUAUGUGCCAACAUUCUUCAGAAAGACAAGUUUCAAUUUGAGGUUGGGGAGACAUCUAGAAAUGCUACACAAGCUUUUGGGGAAGGAUCUAAUACCAUGAAGGUUACCAAGAAACCAUGCCUUGAAGAAGCAGUCCGAGCCAGGUGUAAGAUUGUGUUCAAUCCUAUAAGAUAAUGUUAAAACUCAAAUUGGUUAUUACAUUUGUAUAUGUUAUCAGGGGUACCUGUUAAAACAUACUCAACGAGAGCUACACCAAAAGACAUCAUUAUCAAUGGUUAGUGCUUGCAUCUCUGUUUUUUGUAUUUUUUUUCGGUAUGAAUUGAGUCUGACAAAAGGGGCAAUUUUGGGUGAUGGGUUAAAACGGGUCCGAGUCGUAACAGUUUAUGAGCAUAAUGGGUUCGGGUCAAGGUGGGUUGUUUUAAAAAAUCCAUCUGCUUGGUUUUGGCCAAAAUUGUUUGGGCCGAAAUGAAUUAUUUUCAUAAUGACUGAUUCGUCAAUCCCACUGGCUAUAUAUUUUAUAUUAUUUUAAAACUGUAAUUUUACACAUGUGAAUUGUUACUUUUGCCUUUUUAUGUUUUCUUAACCAUUUGGCAUGAAAUCAUUGUAGAAAAGGUAGUGGUUUCUCAAUGGGAAUCUUUAAAUGUUAUGGAGUUUCCAGGUAUGUAAUUAAUUAUUUUGUCCGAAAGGGAGCAACUAUGUAUACUUCAACACACUUAAUUACUUUGUCCGAAAGG